AUUCUGUAAACGAUUAGCAAAAACAAUUAUCACCACUUUCCUUCAAUUUUUAUUCCUACGGAGCGUCGAAUGGAACGAGAGAGUGAAACAACGAGAGUUUUAUGUACCGUUCGCUUCCUGUAAGGACACGCUCGUCGUUCCACGCGACAUGCGUUCAUACUGUAUGUACGUUGCGCGCGCAUAAUAAACAAUAAAUCAAUUUAAUCGUGUUAGAUGAAUUUAACGCGUUUAAUCUUUGGCUCGAUCGUAAGUAUUUUGCGCGUAUUUUAUUCAACGAUAUCGAAGAAUCGUACGAGACGAAGACGGAAAAAAGAUACAGGUUUCGCGUUCCAGGUUAAUGGAUCGGUUUGCCGCGGCGCAAAAGAUAAAAUCGCGCGUUACGUGUACGAUCGUGACAAUUUCCGGCGUUUCUCGAAUCAUCGUCGAAUUAAUCGAGAGAGAAUUGUGAACUUUCGAUCGAGUUGAAUUUCAAGUGAAUUUCGUUCCGUCCAAGAUGGGCGUGUGUGUUUUAUUACUCGACGAUAAUCGAGGAGACGACGAGGAGAUAAAGGAAAGAGAUAAAGGAAAAAUAUUACACGAGUAAGAACGGUGUCAACGUUUAUGCAGUUGUUUAUGCGAACUGUCGAUACAAUAACGAGAGUAUUGUGUGCCUAAAAUAUAUACAUAUACAUAUAUAUAUAUAUUUCGUUGGCAUUGCAAAAUAUAACGGAUAAAGGAAACGUGAUAAAAUUCGUGGAGAGCAUAUCGUUGGAAUAAUCGUUGGAGAACAGGUGUCGGGUAGAUUUUCUGAUUUAUACACUUUAUUGAAAUGUUACCACCACACAAGGCAAGCAAACGUAGAUAUCUUUGAACGAGCGAAAUAUUCAUUUUUGACGAUAAUAAGUAGGAACGUCGAGUUAUCGCUAUCUAUACGGCAAUAUAUAUAUAUAUGUACACCUUUGUUAAAAAGAAAAAAAAAAAAAAA
This is a long non-coding RNA of Apis mellifera (honey bee), 964 nucleotides long. RefSeq lists it as uncharacterized. The record is from RefSeq and is a predicted model, not a curated record. Lineage: Eukaryota; Metazoa; Arthropoda; Insecta; Hymenoptera; Apidae. The transcript is spliced from 2 exons.